UACGGAGGGUGCAAACGUUGCUCGGAAUCAUUGGGCGUAGAGCGUGUGUAGGCGGUCUGUUAAGUCGGGUGUGAAAGCCCUGGGCUCAACCCAGGAAGUGCAUUCGAAACUAGCAGACUUGAGUACGGGAGAGGGUCGCGGAAUUCCCGGUGUAGAGGUGAAAUUCGUAGAUAUCGGGAGGAACACCAGUGGCGAAGGCGGCGACCUGGACCGAUACUGACGCUGAGACACGAAAGCGUGGGGAGCAAACAGG
Molecule: ribosomal RNA, 253 nt
Filed under: uncultured bacterium
Lineage: Bacteria
Description: partial 16S ribosomal RNA
Rfam family: Bacterial small subunit ribosomal RNA
Source: RNAcentral